This 301-nucleotide ribosomal RNA is filed under the name uncultured bacterium. Its description in RNAcentral is "partial 16S ribosomal RNA". It matches the Rfam family "Bacterial small subunit ribosomal RNA", at positions 509 to 809 of the family's 1533-position model. The record is from RNAcentral.
CAGUCGCACGGUAAUACGUAGGUCCCGAGCGUUGUCCGGAUUUAUUGGGCGUAAAGCGAGCGCAGGCGGUUAGAUAAGUCUGAAGUUAAAGGCUGUGGCUUAACCAUAGUACGCUUUGGAAACUGUUUAACUUGAGUGCAAGAGGGGAGAGUGGAAUUCCAUGUGUAGCGGUGAAAUGCGUAGAUAUAUGGAGGAACACCGGUGGCGAAAGCGGCUCUCUGGCUUGUAACUGACGCUGAGGCUCGAAAGCGUGGGGAGCAAACAGGAUUAGAUACCCCUGUAGUCCCUGUCUCUUAUACAC